AAUGGGGGAUAACGUAGCGAAAGUUACGCUAAUACCGCAUAUGCCCUGAGGGGGAAAGUGGGGGAUCGCAAGACCUCACGUUUUCGGAGCGGCCGAUAUCGGAUUAGCUAGUAGGUUGGGUAAAGGCUGACCUAGGCGACGAUCCGUAGCUGGUCUGAGAGGACGGCCAGCCACACUGGGACUGAGACACGGCCCAGACUCCUACGGGAGGCAGCAGUGGGGAAUUUUGGACAAUGGGGGCAACCCUGAUCCAGCCAUGCCGCGUGAGUGAAGAAGGUCUUCGGGUUGUAAAGCUCUUUCGGACAGAAAGAAAUCGCCAUUCCUAAUACGAGUGGUGGAUGACGGUACUGUAAGAAGAAGCACCGGCUAACUACGUGCCAGCAGCCGCGGUAAUACGUAGGGUGCGAGCGUUAAUCGGAAUUACUGGGCGUAAAGCGUGCGCAGGCGGUUUUGUAAGACAGGCGUGAAAUCCCCGGGCUUAACCUGGGAACUGCGUUUGUGACUGCAAAGCUAGAGUGUAGCAGAGGGGGGUAGAAUUCCA
Molecule: ribosomal RNA, 541 nt
Filed under: uncultured Gallionellaceae bacterium
Lineage: Bacteria; Pseudomonadati; Pseudomonadota; Betaproteobacteria; Nitrosomonadales; Gallionellaceae
Description: bacterial SSU rRNA
Rfam family: Bacterial small subunit ribosomal RNA
Source: RNAcentral